GGCGAACGCUGGCGGCGUGCUUAACACAUGCAAGUCGAACGGAAAGGCCCUGCUUUUGUGGGGUGCUCGAGUGGCGAACGGGUGAGUAACACGUGAGUAACCUGCCCUUGACUUUGGGAUAACUUCAGGAAACUGGGGCUAAUACCGGAUAGGAGCUCCUGCUGCAUGGUGGGGGUUGGAAAGUUUCGGCGGUUGGGGAUGGACUCGCGGCUUAUCAGCUUGUUGGUGGGGUAGUGGCUUACCAAGGCUUUGACGGGUAGCCGGCCUGAGAGGGUGACCGGCCACAUUGGGACUGAGAUACGGCCCAGACUCCUACGGGAGGCAGCAGUGGGGAAUAUUGCACAAUGGGUGGAAGCCUGAUGCAGCAACGCCGCGUGCGGGAUGACGGCCUUCGGGUUGUAAACCGCUUUCGCCUGUGACGAAGCGUGAGUGACGGUAAUGGGUAAAGAAGCACCGGCUAACUACGUG
This 468-nucleotide ribosomal RNA is filed under the name uncultured bacterium. RNAcentral's name for it is "partial 16S ribosomal RNA". It matches the Rfam family "Bacterial small subunit ribosomal RNA", at positions 28 to 507 of the family's 1533-position model. The record is from RNAcentral.